UGAAACUUUAUUUGUCUACCACAGAGGGUC
RNAcentral lists this non-coding RNA (30 nucleotides) under Mus musculus (house mouse). Lineage: Eukaryota; Metazoa; Chordata; Mammalia; Rodentia; Muridae. The record is from RNAcentral.